Molecule: ribosomal RNA, 1542 nt
Filed under: Salmonella enterica subsp. enterica serovar Weltevreden str. 2007-60-3289-1
Lineage: Bacteria; Pseudomonadati; Pseudomonadota; Gammaproteobacteria; Enterobacterales; Enterobacteriaceae
Description: 16S ribosomal RNA
Rfam family: Bacterial small subunit ribosomal RNA
Source: RNAcentral
AAAUUGAAGAGUUUGAUCAUGGCUCAGAUUGAACGCUGGCGGCAGGCCUAACACAUGCAAGUCGAACGGUAACAGGAAGCAGCUUGCUGCUUCGCUGACGAGUGGCGGACGGGUGAGUAAUGUCUGGGAAACUGCCUGAUGGAGGGGGAUAACUACUGGAAACGGUGGCUAAUACCGCAUAACGUCGCAAGACCAAAGAGGGGGACCUUCGGGCCUCUUGCCAUCAGAUGUGCCCAGAUGGGAUUAGCUUGUUGGUGAGGUAACGGCUCACCAAGGCGACGAUCCCUAGCUGGUCUGAGAGGAUGACCAGCCACACUGGAACUGAGACACGGUCCAGACUCCUACGGGAGGCAGCAGUGGGGAAUAUUGCACAAUGGGCGCAAGCCUGAUGCAGCCAUGCCGCGUGUAUGAAGAAGGCCUUCGGGUUGUAAAGUACUUUCAGCGGGGAGGAAGGUGUUGUGGUUAAUAACCACAGCAAUUGACGUUACCCGCAGAAGAAGCACCGGCUAACUCCGUGCCAGCAGCCGCGGUAAUACGGAGGGUGCAAGCGUUAAUCGGAAUUACUGGGCGUAAAGCGCACGCAGGCGGUCUGUCAAGUCGGAUGUGAAAUCCCCGGGCUCAACCUGGGAACUGCAUUCGAAACUGGCAGGCUUGAGUCUUGUAGAGGGGGGUAGAAUUCCAGGUGUAGCGGUGAAAUGCGUAGAGAUCUGGAGGAAUACCGGUGGCGAAGGCGGCCCCCUGGACAAAGACUGACGCUCAGGUGCGAAAGCGUGGGGAGCAAACAGGAUUAGAUACCCUGGUAGUCCACGCCGUAAACGAUGUCUACUUGGAGGUUGUGCCCUUGAGGCGUGGCUUCCGGAGCUAACGCGUUAAGUAGACCGCCUGGGGAGUACGGCCGCAAGGUUAAAACUCAAAUGAAUUGACGGGGGCCCGCACAAGCGGUGGAGCAUGUGGUUUAAUUCGAUGCAACGCGAAGAACCUUACCUGGUCUUGACAUCCACGGAAGUUUUCAGAGAUGGACUGGUGCCUUCGGGAACUGUGAGACAGGUGCUGCAUGGCUGUCGUCAGCUCGUGUUGUGAAAUGUUGGGUUAAGUCCCGCAACGAGCGCAACCCUUAUCCUUUGUUGCCAGCGGUUCGGCCGGGAACUCAAAGGAGACUGCCAGUGAUAAACUGGAGGAAGGUGGGGAUGACGUCAAGUCAUCAUGGCCCUUACGACCAGGGCUACACACGUGCUACAAUGGCGCAUACAAAGAGAAGCGACCUCGCGAGAGCAAGCGGACCUCAUAAAGUGCGUCGUAGUCCGGAUUGGAGUCUGCAACUCGACUCCAUGAAGUCGGAAUCGCUAGUAAUCGUGGAUCAGAAUGCCACGGUGAAUACGUUCCCGGGCCUUGUACACACCGCCCGUCACACCAUGGGAGUGGGUUGCAAAAGAAGUAGGUAGCUUAACCUUCGGGAGGGCGCUUACCACUUUGUGAUUCAUGACUGGGGUGAAGUCGUAACAAGGUAACCGUAGGGGAACCUGCGGUUGGAUCACCUCCUUA